RNAcentral lists this ribosomal RNA (463 nucleotides) under uncultured bacterium. RNAcentral describes it as "partial 16S ribosomal RNA". It matches the Rfam family "Bacterial small subunit ribosomal RNA", at positions 29 to 506 of the family's 1533-position model. The record is from RNAcentral.
AUGAACGCUGGCGGCGUGCUUAACACAUGCAAGUCGCACGGAAAGGCUCCUGCUUGCCGGGGUACUCGAGUGGCGAACGGGUGAGUAACACGUGGGUGAUCUGCCCUGCACUUCGGGAUAAGCCUGUGAAACUGGGUCUAAUACCGGAUAGGACCACAUUUUGGAUGGUGUGGUGGAAAGUUUUUCGGUGUGGGAUGAGCUCGCGGCCUAUCAGCUUGUUGGUGGGGUAAUGGCCUACCAAGGCGUCGACGGGUAGCCGGCCUGAGAGGGUGUACGGCCACAUUGGGACUGAGAUACGGCCCAGACUCCUACGGGAGGCAGCAGUGGGGAAUAUUGCACAAUGGGCGCAAGCCUGAUGCAGCGACGCCGCGUGGGGGAUGACGGCCUUCGGGUUGUAAACUCCUUUCGCUAGGGACGAAGCGCAAGUGACGGUACCUGGAGAAGAAGCACCGGCUAACUACGU